GAGGAUAUAGCUCAGUGGUAGAGUGCGUGCUUAGCAAGCACGAGGUCCUGGGUUCAAUCCUCAGUACCUCCG
This 72-nucleotide transfer RNA is filed under the name Camelus ferus (Wild Bactrian camel). It matches the Rfam family "tRNA". From Rfam's summary of the family: Transfer RNA (tRNA) molecules are approximately 80 nucleotides in length. Their secondary structure includes four short double-helical elements and three loops (D, anti-codon, and T loops). Further hydrogen bonds mediate the characteristic L-shaped molecular structure. tRNAs have two regions of fundamental functional importance: the anti-codon, which is responsible for specific mRNA codon recognition, and the 3' end, to which the tRNAs corresponding amino acid is attached (by aminoacyl-tRNA synthetases). tRNAs cope with the degeneracy of the genetic code in two manners: having more than one tRNA (with a specific anti-codon) for a particular amino acid; and 'wobble' base-pairing, i.e. permitting non-standard base-pairing at the 3rd anti-codon position. Lineage: Eukaryota; Metazoa; Chordata; Mammalia; Artiodactyla; Camelidae. The record is from Rfam by way of RNAcentral.